AUCACGGGGGAUGACCCCGAGUAUAUUGCCUUUGUAAAGGCCCGUCUUAGUGAGCAGUUUCUUAUGUCUGAUCUUGGACCUCUUCGCUACUUUCUUGGGAUUGAAGUCUCUUCUACCUCUGAUGGCUUUUUUAUAUCCCAGGAAAAGUAUAUCCAGGAUCUUCUUGCUCGUGCUGCUCUUACUGACGAGCGCGUUGUUGAGACUCCUAUGGAGCUCAAUGUUCACCUCCGUGCUACUGAUGGUGAUCCUCUCCCUGACCCGACGCGUUAUCUUCAUCUUGUUGGCAGUCUUGUCUAUCUAGCUGUCACGUGUCCGGACAUAUCUUAUCCGGUUCAUAUUCUGAGUCAGUUUGUCUCUGCUCCCACCUCGGUUCACUAUAGUCAUCUCCUUCGUGUUCUCCGAUAUCUUCGAGGCACGAUCUCUCACCGUCUAUUCUUUCCCCGCUCCAGUUCUUUUCAGCUUCAGGCCUAUUCGGAUGCUACGUGGGCUAGUGAUCCUUCAGAUCGCCGUUCACUUUCUGCUUACUGUGUUUUUCUUGGUGGUUCUCUCAUUGCCUGGAAGACGAAGAAACAGCUUGCAGUUUCCCGUUCGAGUGCCGAGGCUGAGUUGCGAGCAAUGGCUCUUUUGACGGCAGAGGUGACUUGGUUACGGUGGUUACUUCACGAUUUUGGUGUUUCUGUCACU
Molecule: ribosomal RNA, 684 nt
Filed under: Triticum aestivum (bread wheat)
Lineage: Eukaryota; Viridiplantae; Streptophyta; Magnoliopsida; Poales; Poaceae
Description: partial small subunit ribosomal RNA
Source: RNAcentral